RNAcentral lists this ribosomal RNA (393 nucleotides) under uncultured bacterium. RNAcentral describes it as "partial 16S ribosomal RNA". It matches the Rfam family "Bacterial small subunit ribosomal RNA", at positions 523 to 919 of the family's 1533-position model. The record is from RNAcentral.
AUACGGAGGAUCCGAGCGUUAUCCGGAUUUAUUGGGUUUAAAGGGUGCGCAGGCGGCCAUUUAAGUCAGCGGUUAAAUCGUGGGGCUCAACCCCAUUCUGCCGUUGAUACUGGGUGGCUUGAUUGCGGUCGAGGUUGGCGGAAUUCGUUGUGUAGCGGGGAAAUGCAUAGAUAUGACGAAGAACACCGAUUGCGUAGGCAGCUGACCAGACCGCAAAUGACGCUCAUGCACGAAAGUGCGGGGAUCGAACAGGAUUAGAUACCCUGGUAGUCCGCACAGUAAACGAUGAAUACUUGUUUUCGGCGAUAUAAUGUCGGAGGCAAAGCGAAAGCAUUAAGUAUUCCACCUGGGGAGUACGCCGGCAACGGUGAAACUCAAAGGAAUUGACGGGGG